AGUCCCUGUCAGGAUACAGCAAGGUCAUGAGGGCCCCUGCUCAGCUCCUGGGUCUCCUGCUGCUCUGCCUCCCAGGUAAGGAGGGACAGCACUGGGGAUGUACUAAUCACAAUGUGGUCAGUGCUGCCUGGCUACACAGGAAAGUCCUCUUGCAACAUCACUACUUACAAGGAUAUUUCUUUUUAUGUUUCCAAUGGCAGGUGUCAGAUGUGAUAUCACAAUGACCCAGUCUCCAUCCUCCUUGCCUGUGUCUCGUGGAGACAGAGUCACCAUCACCUGUAGGGCCAGUCAGGGCAUUAGCAGUUAUUUAAACUGGUAUCAGCAGAAACCAGGGCAAGCUCUUAAGCUCCUAAUCUAUGGUGCAAACAGUUUGCAAUCUGGGGUCCCCUCGAGGUUCACUGGCAGUGGACGUGGGACAGAUUUCUCUCUCACCAUCAGCAGCCUGGAGACUGAAGAUGUUGGCACUUAUUACUGUCAACAAGGAAGCAGUUUCCCUCCCACAGUGACACAGGCCAUGACAAAAACCUCCCAGG
RNAcentral lists this long non-coding RNA (533 nucleotides) under Marmota monax (woodchuck). Lineage: Eukaryota; Metazoa; Chordata; Mammalia; Rodentia; Sciuridae. The record is from RNAcentral.